AUCUUAUCAAGAGCGGUGGAGGGACUGGCCCUAUGAAACCCAGCAACCAAAAAACAUUCAUUAGUUUUUAUGGUGCUAAAUCCUGCAGGUAAAACCUGGAAGAUAAGAG
Non-coding RNA from Clostridium chauvoei JF4335, 109 nucleotides. Lineage: Bacteria; Bacillati; Bacillota; Clostridia; Eubacteriales; Clostridiaceae. The record is from Rfam.